GACGAACGCUGGCGGCGUGCUUAACACAUGCAAGUCGAACGGAAAGGCCCUGCUUUUGUGGGGUGCUCGAGUGGCGAACGGGUGAGUAACCCGUGAGUAACCUGCCCUUGACUUUGGGAUAACUUCAGGAAACUGGGGCUAAUACCGGCUAGGAGCUCCUGCUGCAUGGUGGGGUUUGGAAAGUUUGGGCGGUUGGGGAUGGACUCGCGGCUUAUCAGCUUGUUGGUGGGGUAGUGGCUUACCAAGGGUUUGACGGGUAGCCGGCAUGGGAGGGUGACCGGCCACAUUGGGACUGAGAUACGGCCCAGACUCCUACGGGAGGCAGCAGUGGGGAAUAUUGCACAAUGGGCGGAAGCCUGAUGCAGCGACGCCGCGUGCGGGAUGACGGCCUUCGGGUGGUAAACCGCUUUCGCCUGUGACGAAGCGUGAGUGACGGUAAUGGGUAAAGAAGCACCGGCUAACUACGUG
RNAcentral lists this ribosomal RNA (468 nucleotides) under uncultured bacterium. RNAcentral's name for it is "partial 16S ribosomal RNA". It matches the Rfam family "Bacterial small subunit ribosomal RNA", at positions 28 to 507 of the family's 1533-position model. The record is from RNAcentral.